Molecule: ribosomal RNA, 253 nt
Filed under: uncultured Gammaproteobacteria bacterium
Lineage: Bacteria; Pseudomonadati; Pseudomonadota; Gammaproteobacteria
Description: partial 16S ribosomal RNA
Rfam family: Bacterial small subunit ribosomal RNA
Source: RNAcentral
UACAGAGGGUGCGAGCGUUAAUCGGAAUUACUGGGCGUAAAGCGCACGUAGGUGGCUAUGUAAGUCGGGUGUGAAAUCCCCGGGCUCAACCUGGGAACUGCAUUCGAGACUGCAUGGCUGGAGUACGGAAGAGGAGGGCGGAAUUCCCGGUGUAGCGGUGAAAUGCGUAGAUAUCGGGAGGAACAUCAGUGGCGAAGGCGGCCCUCUGGUCCAGUACUGACACUCAAGUGCGAAAGCGUGGGGAGCAAACAGG